GACGAACGCUGGCGGCGUGCUUAACACAUGCAAGUCGAACGGAAAGGCCCUGCUUUUGUGGGGUGCUCGAGUGGCGAACGGGUGAGUAACACGUGAGUAACCUGCCCUUGACUUUGGGAUAACUUCAGGAAACUGGGGCUAAUACCGGAUAGGAGCUCCUGCUGCAUGGUGGGGGUUGGAACGUUUCGGCGGUUGGGGAUGGACUCGCGGCUUAUCAGCUUGUUGGUGGGGUAGGGGCUUACCAAGGCUUUGACGGGUAGCCGGCCUGAGAGGGUGACCGGCCACAUUGGGACUGAGAUACGGCCCAGACUCCUACGGGAGGCAGCAGGGGGGAAUAUUGCACAAUGGGCGGAAGCCUGAUGCAGCAACGCCGCGUGCGGGAUGACGGCCUUCGGGUUGUAAACCGCUUUCGCCUGUGACGAAGCGUGAGUGACGGUAAUGGGUAAAGAAGCACCGGCUAACUACGUG
Molecule: ribosomal RNA, 468 nt
Filed under: uncultured bacterium
Lineage: Bacteria
Description: partial 16S ribosomal RNA
Rfam family: Bacterial small subunit ribosomal RNA
Source: RNAcentral